UUGAAGGAACUCAGCAAAAUGACCUCGUAACUUCAGGAGAAGGGGUGCUCUCCUAUCUUUUAAUUAGGAAAGCGGCACAUACCAGGGGUAGCGACUGUUUAUUAAAAACACAGGACUCUGCUAAGUGGUAACACGAUGUAUAGAGUCUGACACCUGCCCGGUGCUGGAAGAUCGGAAGGAGAAAUGUUAGUUGCUUUGAAUGGAAACCCCGGUAAAUGGUGGCAGUAACUCUAUCUUUGAACAAAUAAAAAUAACAAAUAAUUUGGAAACAUAAAAAAAAAAGAACAAAUUAAAUGUUAAAUUUCUUUUUCCUUUCUUCGA
RNAcentral lists this ribosomal RNA (321 nucleotides) under Olea europaea subsp. europaea. Its description in RNAcentral is "Archaeal large subunit ribosomal RNA". It matches the Rfam family "Bacterial large subunit ribosomal RNA", at positions 1705 to 1945 of the family's 2925-position model. The record is from Rfam by way of RNAcentral. Lineage: Eukaryota; Viridiplantae; Streptophyta; Magnoliopsida; Lamiales; Oleaceae.